UGUUCAUUGGCUGCAGCUUCUUAGAGGGACGUGCGUUCUAUUAGACGCAGGAAGAUAGGGGCAAUAACAGGUCUGUGAUGCCCUUAGAUGUCCUGGGCCGCACGCGCGUUACACUGAUGCACUCAACGAGUCUACCUUGGCCGAGAGGCCUGGGAAAUCUUGUUAACAUGCAUCGUGAUAGGGAUAGAUUAUUGCAAUUAUUAAUCUUGAACGAGGAAUUCCUAGUAAACGCAGAUCAUCAAUCUGCAUUGAUUACGUCCCUGCCCUUUGUACACACCGCCCGUCGCACCUACCGAUUGAAUGGUCCGGUGAAGCCUCGGGAUUGCGAUGAGUUUCCUUCAUUGGGAGUUUGUCGCGAGAACUUGUCUAAACCUUAUCAUUUAGAGGAAGGUGAAGUCGUAACAAGGUUUCC
Molecule: ribosomal RNA, 412 nt
Filed under: Fragilariales sp. endosymbiont of Amphistegina lessonii
Lineage: Eukaryota; Bacillariophyta; Fragilariophyceae; Fragilariales
Description: SSU rRNA
Rfam family: Eukaryotic small subunit ribosomal RNA
Source: RNAcentral